Molecule: ribosomal RNA, 253 nt
Filed under: uncultured bacterium
Lineage: Bacteria
Description: partial 16S ribosomal RNA
Rfam family: Bacterial small subunit ribosomal RNA
Source: RNAcentral
UACAGAGGGUGCGAGCGUUAAUCGGAAUUACUGGGCGUAAAGCGUGCGUAGACGGUUAUUUAAGUCGGGUGUGAAAGCCCCGGGCUCAACCUGGGAAUUGCAUUCGAGACUGAAUAGCUAGGGUACGGUAGAGGGAAGCGGAAUUUCGGGUGUAGCGGUGAAAUGCGUAGAUAUCCGAAGGAACAUCAGUGGCGAAAGCGGCUUCCUGGACCAGAACUGACGAUCAGGCACGAAAGCGUGGGGAGCAAACAGG